ACAUCGCAAUAUUUCUACAAUAUCUCCGUAAUAUUGCAUUGCAAUUUACAACAUUGCUAUAAUGUUGCUGCAAUGUUCUGUGCUGUAUGAGAUAUAUGAUCUGUUCCAAAAGUAAUGAGAAUGAUUUUUUGGAGAAAAUACUUUUAUUGAAAUCAGAUUUAUAUACACUUAAUAAUUUUCAAAGUAAUUCCCUUGAGAGUCUAUACACCGCGUUCAACGUUGCUGCUACUCUUCAUAACAGCGUUGGAAUUUUUUAACGGAGACACUGUUUAAGGUCCUUGUUACAGCUGCAGAGGAAUCGUCCACAAGAAGUUUGUACCGAUCGGACAAACAGUAAACGCAGCAUUUUACAUCCAGGUAUUCGAUCGUUUGAAAAAAAGGGUCGCGCGCGUUCGCUCAGAAAUCCAGCACACCUGGAUUCUUCAUCACGACAACGCGUUGAGUCACAUUCGUUAACGGUGAGGGAGUUUUUGGGGUUACAAAGGGCUACAAAGAACAUUCUAACGUUUCCACAACCACCUUAUAGCCCAAACAUAGCUCCUUGUAACUUAUUCUUUCUGUUCUCUUGCAUCAAAUCUGAUCAGAAAGAAAACUAUUUUGGGACCAUAGAAAACGUCCGGCUGUGACGAGGACAUUGAACAGUGUCUUUAUUGAAGAAUUUCAACCUGUUAUGAAGAAUAGUAGCAAUGUUGGACGCGGUGUAUAGACUUUCAAGGGAACUACUUUGAAAACUACUAAGUGUAUUUGAACCUGAUUUUAACAAAAGUAUUUUCUCCAGAAUCAUUCUCAUUACUUUUGGGACAGACCAUGUAUUACAUUAUGCAAUGAAAAAUAUUUUAUCAAAUUGACAUCAAUUCAAUGUCGAUUUGAUAUCGAUGAAUGAUUGAAACUGAAUAUCGAGAUCGAUCUGAGGGUUGAUAUCAAAUUUCAAUAUUGGUCAAGUUGACGUCAUUUCUCACUGGGCAAUAUUUUCUCUGGUAAAAAAAUAGGCAGUUAGAUAUUUGAGCAGAAGAAAGAAUCAAUAAGCCCGCAGGGGUUGUCAAACCGCAACAAAAGGGCAUAGACACGAACAUGAGUUUUAUACAAGCAGCAGCCGCCAUCGGAAGCUUUAUUGGAACCGCCGACUCGAUUGGCACUACAAACGUUGUGGGUGGUCAAGAGGAUGGAACGGCAGUGCAACAGGCGCAACCAUCAGCAUCAAGUCCAGCUCAACCACAAUCGAGUGCGUUAACCGGAGAGCCAGGUCCGCAACAAGCUACGCAAGGACAAAUGGCUGAUGUUGGUGCUUCAACGAGUGCAAAAUCAACGCCUGAUCCAGAAAAAUGUAGACUUAUACAGCAACAAUUGGUACUACUUUUGCACGCGCAUAAAUGCCAACGACGGGAGCGUCAAGCGAACGGUGAGAUAAGACAGUGCACUGUGCCAGACUGCAGAACUAUGAAAAACGUUCUGAAUCACAUGACGAAUUGUCAAUCUGGCAAGAGUUGCACCAUCCCGCAUUGCAGUAUGUCUAGGCAGAUCAUCAGUCACUGGAAACACUGUAAUCGAAGUGAUUGUCCAGUCUGUGUUCCGAUAAAACAAGCUAAUGAAAGCAGGACUAAUUCAGCGCAGGCGAUGGGUGUCCGUGUGUAUUUUGCGAUGGGUGCACCGGGAUAAUCCAUAGUCGGUGCUGGACAACAAGUAGUCGCUCUGAACGUAUCUCUUUCUUUAAAUUCUGAUCUUACUACGGUUGGGGUAGCCGGCAAUCAGUCGGUACCGAAGACCGGACCACAUCCGCCGCGGCAGCGACCAUUGCUUAUUGGCUUGUAUAUUUACAACAAUCCGUUAAUAUUCAAGCGAUGUUUGGACUGAAUGAAUUCGGACAACCUGGUGUGAUAGGUGGAGAAAAUGGAUUAGAGAAUUCCAGGAGCUUCCAGGAGGUCUUCAACUUGGUCAAGUCACAUCGACGCCGGCACAAAGGACAAAGGAGUGGCAUAUGUCCGUUACUCUAGAUCUCAGGAACCAUCUUGUUCAUAAAUUGAUUCAAGCAAUAUUCCCGACUCCCGAUUCACAAGCCAUACUCAAUGAAACAAUAUACAAUUUGAUCGCAUAUGCAAGAAAGAUGGAGGGUGACAUGUACGAAAGGGCCAACUCUCGUUCGGAAUAUUACUGUUUGUUGGCCAAAAAAAUCUACGAGAUUCAAAAGGAACUUGAUAACGAAAAACGACGAAAACGAGAAGAAUAACAGCAAUAGCAACAAUAACAGCAGCAACAACAACAACAGCAGCUGCAAGUGCAACAACAGUAACACCGGGACAACCCGUACUCAAUGCUGGACAACAAGUAGUCGCUCCGAACGUAUCUCUUCCUUUAAAUUCCGAUCCUACUAUGGUUUGGGUAGUCGGAUAAAAUUCUGAAAAAAAUAUGUAAAAGGAGAAAUGUACUUUAUUAUUGCGUAAGGAAAUUAAAAAUAUUCCUCUAAUUUCUUAGUUAUAAGCAUUUAUGUCAAAAGUGGUGCGAUUUCGGCAACCUUAUCCUAUUUGUAGCGCUCGUUCCUUAUAAAGUAAAGAUAUUGAAGAAAAACGGCCAAAUAUAGAUAAGCAAUUAUAGAUAGUAUAAUUUUUGGACAAUGGUAAUUUCUUCCUACGAUAUUACACAAGUACGUUUUGACUAUACUUAGUUUUUAUCAAAUCAAAGAAAAACAGUUAUUAAUCUAUUAAAUACAUAUUAAAUAAUGAAUUAAGCCGCAAACAUACGUCUUAAAUUAGCAUGAGCUCGUUUCUGUAAGAUUGUAAGAUUUAACAAUUUAACUUUAUCUUAAUCAGAAGUUCAUUUUUGUCAAUUAUAUAGGUACAAUCUUCGAUAAAAAUUUGUACCGAAAUAUAUUUAAGGCCACAAUGAAUGAUCAAUUCUCUUUCUAUCUUUUUCUUUUUGAAAGUUUGAACGCAGAAACCUACAAUAAAUAAUCGUAAUUUACGAUUUACUUGGUUCUACAUCCGGAAAAAGCGGGUGAAUCUCGAUGCACUAACGAGUAAAAUUUGCGAGACAGCGACAGCUGCAAAAGGAAAAUUAUCCCUUUAUAUUAAACUUCGCGAACGCGGACAACAGACAUCGCGUUAAUAGUGCCUCGUGUGUAUUUUACGUUUCGUCGCUUGCUAUGAUACGCAAAUAGAACAGCCGGUGGAGACGUCCAACUGUCUGGUGCACUCGCAAAAAUAGGAUUGUGUCGCCCCGUUUUUGUCGUGUAUCGCCAAUGUUACACGAAGUCGCGAGAAAUCGGGGUUACGAGACGAAAACGCCUCGCGCGACUCCCAUCAUCGAGAGAGCAGAAAAAACUCGCUAAUUUCAAUUAAUGUCCAUCAAUCAGCAAAUGUAAAUAUCUCAGAGUGCUUCGCAAACAAGUUUUACCAAUCAGCUGUUUUUAACUUCCACAGGUGAUAUUAAUCUUGCAGGAUUCUUUCUUAAAAUGUUUCGUCUUUAUUCUUAGUGAAAUAUCAUUACGAUGGCGAUAAUUGUACUAAGACUAUGUGAAUCAUAUAACUACAGACUGUAGCUCACACACACACAAAUGUCCGUAAUAUCUGUAUAAUGCGGGUGCAAUAUUAUAAAUAAAUGCUUUUGUGUCAUUUUAUCUAAAAAUUGAGUGAAUCAAAGCUUUUCAA
RNA transcript from Solenopsis invicta (red fire ant), 3641 nucleotides. It is a transcript of the gene named histone acetyltransferase p300, with no coding region annotated. The transcript has 5 exons. NCBI's taxonomy places the organism in Eukaryota, Metazoa, Arthropoda, Insecta, Hymenoptera, Formicidae. The record is from RefSeq and is a predicted model, not a curated record.